CACUUGUUUUGUUUGGCUAGUUGAUGAUUUGUUGUUUUAAUUUGUCUUUGUUUCAGCCUGUCCUCCUGAUGUACUCCACCCUACCUAGGUCCUGGAGAAGGGAAAAGUCACAGCAUGUGCAAAGGUCAGACCCUGGACAGCAUGGUGUGAAGUCAUACAUUUUGGAUCACACACAGAGCGAACAGCCUUCUUCUGGAACACCAGUGAUGUCCCACCAUACAGGGUUCAAAGGUCAUCGGGAGCCAUUUCAGGCCACUUCAUUGAGCUGCAGGGCAUUGACUGACCAGCCAAGUACAAGUGAUGCAAAGGUUAGUGGGGGCACACCAGCUGUUUCCCUUUGUGAAUGGAGGAAAUUCCUCAAUGGUCCAACCUAUCAAACCCCACCUCAUAAGCAAAGUUUCAUUAAUGGUAUAAACAAAGCAUGCUACUCAAACAGCCAUAGUUGUGAUUGCAAACUGUUGGUACAGUGUGAGAGUAAUUGGAUAUGCUACCAUGCAGUCAACAUUAAUUGUUUCUACAUUGACGUGAUAACACAGUACACUGUGU
Molecule: long non-coding RNA, 546 nt
Filed under: Salmo salar (Atlantic salmon)
Lineage: Eukaryota; Metazoa; Chordata; Actinopteri; Salmoniformes; Salmonidae
Description: lncRNA (ENSSSAG00000115214.1)
Source: RNAcentral